AACGAACGCUGGCGGCAGGCUUAACACAUGCAAGUCGAACGCCCCGCAAGGGGAGCGGCAGACGGGUGAGUAACGCGUGGGAAUCUACCCAUCUCUGCGGAAUAGCUCCGGGAAACUGGAAUUAAUACCGCAUACGCCCUACGGGGGAAAGAUUUAUCGGGGAUGGAUGAGCCCGCGUUGGAUUAGCUAGUUGGGGGGGUAAAGGCCUACCAAGGCGACGAUCCAUAGCUGGUCUGAGAGGAUGAUCAGCCACAUUGGGACUGAGACACGGCCCAAACUCCUACGGGAGGCAGCAGUGGGGAAUAUUGGACAAUGGGCGCAAGCCUGAUCCAGCCAUGCCGCGUGAGUGAUGAAGGCCUUAGGGUUGUAAAGCUCUUUCACCGGUGAAGAUAAUGACGGUAACCGGAGAAGAAGCCCCGGCUAACUUCGUGCCAGCCGCCGCAGUAA
RNAcentral lists this ribosomal RNA (447 nucleotides) under uncultured bacterium. RNAcentral's name for it is "partial 16S ribosomal RNA". It matches the Rfam family "Bacterial small subunit ribosomal RNA", at positions 29 to 523 of the family's 1533-position model. The record is from RNAcentral.